This is a non-coding RNA of Phrynosoma platyrhinos (Desert horned lizard), 73 nucleotides long. NCBI's taxonomy places the organism in Eukaryota, Metazoa, Chordata, Lepidosauria, Squamata, Phrynosomatidae. The record is from the annotation of a GenBank genome assembly.
AGCUAGGAUGGUGUAAUGGUUUGAGUGUUGGACUAUGGCUCUGAAGACCAGAGUUCAAAUCCCUGCUUGGCCA